RNAcentral lists this non-coding RNA (26 nucleotides) under Mus musculus (house mouse). The record is from RNAcentral. Lineage: Eukaryota; Metazoa; Chordata; Mammalia; Rodentia; Muridae.
UAACAGGUGGCAGGACAGACUUGUGC